Serinus canaria (Common canary) is the source of this 945-nucleotide long non-coding RNA. RefSeq lists it as uncharacterized. The record is from RefSeq and is a predicted model, not a curated record. NCBI's taxonomy places the organism in Eukaryota, Metazoa, Chordata, Aves, Passeriformes, Fringillidae. The transcript has 3 exons.
UUGGGAUCAUGUUAGAUAGCCAGGGUCAAAAGCAAGCCCAUCCCACCAAAUGCAGUUACUUUAAAUCUUAAAUUUCUGUCUUUCAUUUAGUCCUGAAGUGGGGAGAUGUUCUCCCUAUUCCAGCUCUUCAUGCAGACCUUUAAGAGUGGGAAGCAAAGUGAGAGGGCUGAUCUAACCUAACCUUUAACUCAGACAAAAUGAAUUUAAACUGUUUAGGGGCAGUGUGCAGCUGAGGCCAAUCUGUGUGGCUUUAGAGAAGAGGAUUUUUAGUUUGGGCAUCUGAUGGGAUUGCGAGGUUGAAAAAGGGAGCUGUGUGGGUGAGUUGGAGCUCUGACUUGCACUGCAUGCUUAUUUGGUUAACACAUGUCUCCAGCCCAAAGAAAGACCAACAAAGCAUUGCAAUGGGAUUUGGACCAGUUAGAUAUCAGAUCUCAAAAGACAGGCAUCCAUGGAAGAAGCCUUGCUGAACUGGGACUAUUGCUUGUAAAAUGUCUGUGGAAAUGAUUAGUUGAAAGCCCAAAACUCUUUUUUCAUCGUUGUUCGGCAACCACAUUGGCAAUGAGAGCUGGCAGGGGCACGUGAUAAAAGGGUACAGGAGAGUGAUUCAGACAAUCUGAUUAAUCUGGGGCUUCCUGGAUGAUUCACAUUGGCCCUAAUGGAGCCAGAUGUAACCAAAGUGACGUGCUUGGGAGUUAAACAGCACAGGCCAUGGCUCAACAGUGGGGGCAUAUCUGAAAGGAAACUUAACUGCAAGAAAAGCUGAUGCAACCUUCAGGUGUUAAAAGAGCUUCCAGAUGCUUCUGAGUGAGUGUGGAAUAAUGCCACAUGCUCGCUCCAGUCCCUCCAGUUCUUCCUUGAUGACUUUAAGUUGCCCUCUUUCAUCCUGUCAUCCAGUUCCCUGCCUCUGGCUGCACUGCCUGCACACAGGGCUUGCCCCAUCCGACC